RNA transcript from Seriola dumerili (greater amberjack), 3098 nucleotides. It is a transcript of the gene named hook microtubule tethering protein 1, with no coding region annotated. The record is from RefSeq and is a predicted model, not a curated record. Lineage: Eukaryota; Metazoa; Chordata; Actinopteri; Carangiformes; Carangidae. The transcript has 23 exons.
AGCAGCGGAAGAGCUUUGCUGACAGGUGGAUUUAAACAUUUCAGCUCAAACAGAAGAAAUGGACGAUAACAAAACAGUACUGGUCGAGAGCCUCAUUGUGUGGCUGCAGACCUUUAACACUCCCGCGCCCUGCAGAACAGUGGAGGAGCUGACCACUGGAGCAGCAAUAUCGCAGGCACUGCAUCAGAUAGACCCAGCAUGGUUCACCGAUGGAUGGUUGGGUCGUAUCAAAGCAGAUGUUGAGGACAACUGGAGACUGAAGAUGAACAACCUGAAGAAGAUCCUUCAGAUGGUGGUUGACUAUUAUAAUGAGGUCUUAUCCCAGGAGAUAUCAGACUUCCCCUUGCCAGAUCUGGCCCUGGUAGCAGAGCAUUCAGACCCUGUGGAGCUGGGGAGGCUGCUGCAGCUCAUACUCGGCUGUGCUGUCAGAUGUGAGCGUAAACAAGAGUACAUUCAGAUCAUCAUGACGUUGGAGGAGUCUGUGCAGCAUGUUGUCAUGACAGCCAUCCAGGAGCUCAUGAGUAAAGAGACCAUGGCCCCAUUUGGAGCAGAGCUGUCAGGGGACUUGGAACAGCAGUUAAAGAAAGCCCUCGAGGAUCUUGCUGAACUUUUAGCUGAGAAGGAAGCAUUAGCCCAACGCUGUCAAGAGCUGGACAUACAGGUGGCUGUUCUUCAAGAGGAACGGAACAGCUUAUUGGCUGAGAAUGAUGUCCUAACUGAUCGGGCCAAUCAGCUCGACACCUUCGAUGACCCUAGCACACCCUCAGGAAGGAAACACAGCCAGUUACAGCAACAGCUGGAGACACUGCAGGAGGAGAACUUCAGGCUGGAGGCCGCCAAGGAUGACUACAGGAUCCACUGUGAAGAGUUGGAGAAGCAGCUGAUUGAGGUGCAGCACCGUAAUGACGAGCUCACCAGCCUGGCAGAAGAAUCUCGAGCUCUCAGAGAUGAACUGGACGUUCUCAGGAGCUGCUCAGAUCGAGUGGUGAUGCUGGAGGCCUCAGUGGAAACAUACAAACGUAAACUGGAGAAUCUGGGCGAUCUGAAGAGGCAGAUGAAGCUGCUGGAGGAGAAUAACAUGACCUACAUGCAAAACACUGUCAGCUUGGAGGAAGAGCUACGCAAAGCCAACGCUGCUCGUGCACAGCUCGAGACAUACAAGAGACAGGUCCAAGAGCUACACAGGAAGUUGUCCGAGGAGACGAGGCGAGCAGACAACCUCGCCUAUGAUAUGAAGAAGCUGGAGGAGAAGCACGACACUGUGAUGAAGGAGAAAGAGAGGAUCAUCAUUGAAAGAGAUUCUCUAAAGGAGAUCAAUGAGGAGCUGAGAUGCACUCAGGCUCAACAGCAUCAGCUCUCCCAAGCAGGGAUGCUUCCUUCCAGCAGCCCGAGCCAUGAUAACCUGGCAGCUGAAUUAAUGCCCAUUGAGUACAGAGAAAAGUUCAUCAGGCUGCAGCAUGAGAACAAGAUGCUGAGAGUGCAGCAGGAGGAAUGUGAGCGGGAGAAGAUCGCGGCCCUGCAGGCUCAGCUGGAGGAAGCACAUAAGACGCGCAGUGAGCUGGACACUGAGAACAGAUUGAGCCGAGAGCGGGUGAGUGAGCUGCAGCAGCAGGUGGAGGAUCUCCAGAAGGCUCUGCAGAGUCAAGCGGCCAAACCUGAUGAUUCGAACCUGAAGCGGAAACUUGAUGCACACAUGGUCCAGCUGAACGAGGCUCAGGACGAAAUCAUGAAGAAGAAGGAGCUGCUGGAGGACCUUCAGCCUGACAACACUCAGACCUCUUUGAGGGUGGAUGAGUUGAUGGCUGCUCUGAAGAAGAAGGAUGAUGACAUGCGGGCCAUGGAAGAGAGGUACAAAAUGUACCUGGAGAAAGCUCGCAAUGUGAUUCGAGCGCUGGACCCUAAAUUGAAUCCAGCCACGGCGGAGAUCCAGGCUCUGAGGAACCAGCUUGCGGACCGGGACAAGCAGAUUCUCACCCUGGAACGCCAAUGUGAGCAGGCCAGGCUGAGGGAGUAUGAGGAGAAGCUGAUUGUAACAGCGUGGUAUAACAAGAGUCUGAACUUUCAGAAGCUGGCCAUUGAAUCACGUCUCGGUGGACGCACCUCCUCCAUGCUGUCCCCUGGCCAGUCCUUCUUGGCCCAGCAGCGGCAAGUCUCAAAUGCCCCACGCCGGGCGCUUUCCAUCAGCGUGCCUGCCACUACCUCCAAAUAGACCUCGUCACGGAGCCAAAUGUCUCACCUUUAUUCGGUGAAGGGGGAAAAAUGCCCUCCCUCCCACAAAAUGGAACAAGCCCAUCAUGUAAAGCUGUGAAAACCCUACAAGUCAUAUUAAGUGAUGAAUCUCAGAGGUGCUGCAACGGCAAAUCUUACAAAAUAAACCCAGGACUAAUGUAUUUCUCAUGUAUUUAAACUCCUAAAGUGCGAUGUGACUUCCUCACUGGCAGCAUGCUCUAAAUGAAAACUGGCAGGCCUUUCGAUUCACUGAAUAUGUCGAAUCUUAUUUAGUGGUUAGUGAUGAAGAUGAUAAUCUAUGAAGUUGUACAGCUCUAAUGUAAACAUGAUUUAACACCAGCUUUUGAUCCAAAUAUUGGGACCAGGUUCAGCGUUCAUACAGUACCUGCAAAUUGUAAUAUGAGAAUUUUGAUUACUGUAGUCGAUAUUGUAUUUAAUCAUGGACGUGUUUAGUUCAGAGUGAAGAGUGCUGUAGAGGAGCAGUUGUUCUCUUUGGUAUUGUGGGAUAUUGGCUGUCUGAUCUUAAGGAGUCUUAAGUUAAACUGCACUAGUUUCAGUUGAUUGCUUUGUUACUCUGUAUGUUUGCAAUAACACUAAAGGGGCAUUCUGUUUUCAUGGUUUUGCCAUUUGUGAUCUACAGACGUGUCAAAGUGCUUUUGUUUUCCUUUGCAGUGGAUGAUCCUUGUAGAUAUGCUGAUUUAAAAAAAACGGUGUUGUUUAUAUGAAAAUAAGAAGUACAAUCAAACGUAGCACAGCACAGAGACUUAAUGUGUCGUGUCAUAUGUUUGUGUGUAAAUGAAGAAAAAUGAGGAAGGCAUUAUGAAUUUAAGAAGUUAAAAUUUUAAAGCCUUUGGUUUUCUUGUGAAUAA